ACCGGCGGCUCGAGUGGUGGCCACUAUUACUGGGCUUAAAGCGUUCGUAGCUGGCUUGUUAAGUCUCUGGGGAAAUCUUCCGGCUCAACCGGAAGGCGUCUCAGGGAUACUGGCAGGCUAGGGACCGGAAGAGGUGAGAGGUACUCCAGGGGUAGGAGUGAACGCCUGUAGUCCGUGGGGGACGACCUGUGGGGAAGGCGUCUCACCAGGACGGGUCCGACGGUGAGGACCGAAAGCUGGGGGAGCAAACAG
RNAcentral lists this ribosomal RNA (252 nucleotides) under uncultured prokaryote. RNAcentral's name for it is "partial 16S rRNA". It matches the Rfam family "Archaeal small subunit ribosomal RNA", at positions 475 to 726 of the family's 1478-position model. The record is from RNAcentral.